UUGGUUUUCUACAAGAGUGAUUUGUGCUGC
This 30-nucleotide non-coding RNA is filed under the name Mus musculus (house mouse). The record is from RNAcentral. Lineage: Eukaryota; Metazoa; Chordata; Mammalia; Rodentia; Muridae.